AACGAACGCUGGCGGCAUGCCUAACACAUGCAAGUCGAACGAGGCCUUCGGGUCUAGUGGCGCACGGGUGCGUAACGCGUGGGAACCCGCCCUUAGGUUCGGAAUAACUCCCCGAAAGGGGUGCUAAUACCGGAUAAUGUCUUCGGACCAAAGAUUUAUCGCCUUUGGAUGGGCCCGCGUUGGAUUAGCUAGUUGGUAGGGUAAAAGCCUACCAAGGCGACGAUCCAUAGCUGGUCUGAGAGGAUGAUCAGCCACACUGGGACUGAGACACGGCCCAGACUCCUACGGGAGGCAGCAGUGGGGAAUAUUGGACAAUGGGCGAAAGCCUGAUCCAGCAAUGCCGCGUGAGUGAUGAAGGCCUUAGGGUUGUAAAGCUCUUUUACCCGGGAUGAUAAUGACAGUACCGGGAGAAUAAGCCCCGGCUAACUCCGUG
Molecule: ribosomal RNA, 433 nt
Filed under: uncultured bacterium
Lineage: Bacteria
Description: partial 16S ribosomal RNA
Rfam family: Bacterial small subunit ribosomal RNA
Source: RNAcentral